UGGGAAUAUUGCACAAUGGGGGGAAACCCUGAUGCAGCGACGCCGCGUGAACGAAGAAGUAUUUCGGUAUGUAAAGUUCUAUCAGCAGGGAAGAUAAUGACGGUACCUGACUAAGAAGCACCGGCUAAAUACGUGCCAGCAGCCGCGGUAAUACGUAUGGUGCAAGCGUUAUCCGGAUUUACUGGGUGUAAAGGGAGCGCAGGCGGUGCGGCAAGUCUGAUGUGAAAGCCCCGGGCUCAACCUGGGUACUGCUUUGGAAACUGUAUUGCUAGAGUGCUGGAGAGGUAAGCGGAAUUCCUAGUGUA
RNAcentral lists this ribosomal RNA (305 nucleotides) under uncultured Roseburia sp. RNAcentral describes it as "bacterial SSU rRNA". It matches the Rfam family "Bacterial small subunit ribosomal RNA", at positions 356 to 677 of the family's 1533-position model. Lineage: Bacteria; Bacillati; Bacillota; Clostridia; Lachnospirales; Lachnospiraceae. The record is from RNAcentral.